UCUCCGUAGGUGAACCUGCGGAGGGAUCAUUACUGAGUGAGGGUCUCCCGACCCGACCUCCAACCCCAUGUAUUCCGACUCUGUUGCCUCGGGGGCGACCCUGCCUUCGGGCGUUGGGGCCCCCGGUGGACCACACAACUCUGCAUCUUUGCGUCUGAGUAACAUUUUGAAUUAAAUCAAAACUUUCAACAACGGAUCUCUUGGUUCUGGCAUCGAUGAAGAACGCAGC
Molecule: unclassified non-coding RNA, 229 nt
Filed under: uncultured fungus
Lineage: Eukaryota; Fungi
Description: sequence contains ITS1, 5.8S rRNA gene
Rfam family: 5.8S ribosomal RNA (bases 181-229)
Source: RNAcentral